AUACGGAGGGUGCAAGCGUUAUCCGGAAUCAUUGGGUUUAAAGGAUCCGUAGGCGGAUAAUUAAGUCAGGGGUGAAAUCCCACAGCUCAACUGUGGCACUGCCUUUGAUACUGGUUAUCUUGAGUUAUAGGGAAGUAGAUAGAAUAUGUAGUGUAGCGGUGAAAUGCAUAGAUAUUACAUAGAGUACCGAUUGCGAAGGCAGUCUACUAUCUGUAUACUGACGCUAAGGGACGAAAGCGUGGGGAGCGAACAGGAUUAGAAACCCCAGUAGUCC
RNAcentral lists this ribosomal RNA (274 nucleotides) under uncultured bacterium. RNAcentral describes it as "partial 16S ribosomal RNA". It matches the Rfam family "Bacterial small subunit ribosomal RNA", at positions 523 to 796 of the family's 1533-position model. The record is from RNAcentral.